AGGUGUGGGUUUCCUUCCUUGGGAUCCGUGCCGUAGCUAACGCAUUAAGUACCCCGCCUGGGGAGUACGGCCGCAAGGCUAAAACUCGAAGGAAUUGACGGGGGCCCGCACAAGCGGCGGAGCAUGUGGAUUAAUUCGAUGCAACGCGAAGAACCUUACCUGGGUUUGACAUGCACAGGACGCGUCUAGAGAUAGGCGUUCCCUUGUGGCCUGUGUGCAGGUGGUGCAUGGCUGUCGUCAGCUCGUGUCGUGAGAUGUUGGGUUAAGUCCCGCAACGAGCGCAACCCUUGUCUCAUGUUGCCAGCACGUAAUGGUGGGGACUCGUGAGAGACUGCCGGGGUCAACUCGGAGGAAGGUGGGGAUGACGUCAAGUCAUCAUGCCCCUU
This 386-nucleotide ribosomal RNA is filed under the name Mycobacterium tuberculosis. Its description in RNAcentral is "bacterial SSU rRNA". It matches the Rfam family "Bacterial small subunit ribosomal RNA", at positions 818 to 1203 of the family's 1533-position model. The record is from RNAcentral. Lineage: Bacteria; Bacillati; Actinomycetota; Actinomycetes; Mycobacteriales; Mycobacteriaceae.